RNAcentral lists this ribosomal RNA (253 nucleotides) under uncultured bacterium. Its description in RNAcentral is "partial 16S ribosomal RNA". It matches the Rfam family "Bacterial small subunit ribosomal RNA", at positions 524 to 776 of the family's 1533-position model. The record is from RNAcentral.
UACGUAGGGUGCAAGAGUUGUCCGGAUUUAUUGGGUUUAAAGGGUGCGUAGGUGGCUGAUUAAGUCAUGGGUGAAAGCCCGCAGCUCAACUGUGGAAUUGCCUGUGAUACUGAUUAGCUUGAGUGCGGUUGAGGCAGCUGGAAUUGGUGGUGUAGCGGUGAAAUGCAUAGAUUCCACCAGGAACACCGAUUGCGAAGGCAGGUUGCUAAGCCGUAACUGACACUGAGGCACGAAAGCGUGGGGAGCAAACAGG